This 96-nucleotide ribosomal RNA is filed under the name uncultured bacterium. Its description in RNAcentral is "partial 16S ribosomal RNA". It matches the Rfam family "Bacterial small subunit ribosomal RNA", at positions 1384 to 1481 of the family's 1533-position model. The record is from RNAcentral.
UACACACCGCCCGUCACACCACGAAAGUGGUCUUAACCAGAAGCAGAUGAGCUAACUUCGGAGGCAGUCUACCAAGGUUGAGGCCGUGAUUGGGGU